UGAUGUCAUUGUUCAUGUAACCAGGUUGCCUGUGCGCUGGGACAAGACUGUGAUCGUUGUGAUGAAUGAGGUGCGUGUUAGCAGUCCAUAUCUUCCUGAAUCUGUUACUGGAGGCACUCCGGCUGCUAAUGAACGAGUGCGGAAAGUGCUUGUAUUGGAGAGGAAGAGGUUGCAAACCCGCAAUAUUGGACAGUGAGAAUUCUUACUGUGUUGUUUUUCUUUGGUCCGAGGUGUUCUUUGCAUCAUUAGCCUACUGAGUAAACAAAUACCAGAGCGUUGCUAAAAAUGCGAAUCCUACUCGAGUGAAGAUGUAUCCGUGUCUCUCCAUCUGUAAGAGGUUUGAAAAAAUAGUGACUGGAGUUGCUCUCUCCCCCACCCGUCCCCCAAAGAAAAUACAGCAAAUUUUUCUUCAUUUGCUUGUCUCGGUGAGGUAAAUUUCAAUUUGCCAUAUUAUGUUUAUGAGGAACCAAAGGUUGAACUUGAAGGAUUGGUGUCUUCUAGUAAAAACACAGCUUUGGGGAUGAGGGAUGAGAGGAAGUUUUCCUUUCCAAUCAGAAUAUUAAAAUUUGGAAUCUUUGAUUUUGUUUACUGAUUUUCAUUCUCCUUUACCUGGAGGGUAAAAAGAAGUUGCCAGUUAGCAAAGAAACGGUGUUCUGUUGUACUAUAUAAAUGAAAGAGGAACAACGCAAAUUGCAUUUUCUAGAGACAGUUUUUUCUUUUA
Molecule: non-coding RNA, 721 nt
Organism: Nicotiana tabacum (common tobacco)
Lineage: Eukaryota; Viridiplantae; Streptophyta; Magnoliopsida; Solanales; Solanaceae
Source: RefSeq, a predicted model, not a curated record